GAGUUGUGUAUUUGAAAAUAAAAAUUCAUCCUUUUAAUCUUUUCAUUAAAAUAAGGGACUCUAUUGAUCAUAAGGAGGUAAAAGACAGUAGCAUUUUAGGAAGAAGAGUUACUCUUUUUUUUUUUUCGGGGGGGUUAGCGGGAUUGACAUGUCACAACUUUUAGCCAUAUAUUCAACAAGGUUGUGACAUCACUUCUAUUGAUAUUGCUCAUGAAGGAUUCAAUUUUUUGAUUGUAAUAGAAUGACAUGGCUAUCAGUGGCUUUGCAAUAUUUCUAACUGAUAACAAUACAACCAUGAUUCUUAUUUUGUUAGAUC
RNAcentral lists this long non-coding RNA (316 nucleotides) under Elaeis guineensis (African oil palm). Its description in RNAcentral is "long non-coding RNA (EGUI_LNC009526)". The record is from RNAcentral. Lineage: Eukaryota; Viridiplantae; Streptophyta; Magnoliopsida; Arecales; Arecaceae.